UAAAUGGCUCUUUUUGGAGCCAUUUUUAUUUGUCUUUAAAACUUAG
This is a non-coding RNA of Roseivirga spongicola, 46 nucleotides long. The record is from Rfam. NCBI's taxonomy places the organism in Bacteria, Pseudomonadati, Bacteroidota, Cytophagia, Cytophagales, Roseivirgaceae.